This is a long non-coding RNA of Bufo gargarizans (Asiatic toad), 266 nucleotides long. RefSeq lists it as uncharacterized. The record is from RefSeq and is a predicted model, not a curated record. The transcript has 3 exons. Lineage: Eukaryota; Metazoa; Chordata; Amphibia; Anura; Bufonidae.
CAAACAACUAACAGUCUGAAAUGACAGAGUCGGGGAGCCAUAUAAUGGGAUUAGACCGGUGAACAAUGCCUACAUUGUUAAUGAAAAGACAGAUAAUAUCAUAUUGUUCAUCUGGUAGGGAUCAAACUGUGUUGCCUUCAUCACCUUUCACCAUGUAUAUCUCCCCAGCGGCAUCUCACCUGCCAAACGAGUUUAAGUAGGACAAGAAAUGACUCUAUUUCAGCACACAGGCUCUCUGAAAAAAGUUAUGACAUUUUCAAAGGCGU